CAGAGCACUCCUACGGGAGGCAGCAGUAGGGAAUAUUGGUCAAUGGGCGAGAGCCUGAACCAGCCAUGCCGCGUGCAGGAAGACGGCCUUCUGGGUUGUAAACUGCUUUAUCAGGGAACAAAAAGGCCAUGCGUGGCAAAUUGCGUGUACUGAAGAAUAAGGACCGGCUAACUCCGUGCCAGCAGCCGCGGUAAUACGGAGGGUCCAAGCGUUGUCCGGAUUAUUGGGUUUAAAGGGUGCGUAGGCGGCCCUAUAAGUCAGUGGUGAAAUCCUUCAGCUCAACUGGAGAACUGCCAUUGAUACUGUAGGGCUUGAGUACAGACGAGGUAGGCGGAAUUUAUGGUGUAGCGGUGAAAUGCAUAGAUACCAUAAAGAACACCUAUUGCGAAGGCAGCUUACUAGACUGUAACUGACGCUGAGGCACGAAAGCGUGGGGAGCGAACAGGAUUAGAUACCCUGGUAG
This 463-nucleotide ribosomal RNA is filed under the name uncultured bacterium. RNAcentral describes it as "bacterial SSU rRNA". It matches the Rfam family "Bacterial small subunit ribosomal RNA", at positions 329 to 793 of the family's 1533-position model. The record is from RNAcentral.